CAGAAGGGCACGAGCCAAGGCAGAGAAGUAUUAAAAGUACGGUAUUACUGAGGGAAAUGAAUUCUGAGUUCCAAACAACUGAUUUACAAAUGAACAUUUGGAAAGCUACCCAUUUGUAAGUGGAAGACUUCUUUCAUCCUAUAUUUUCUGCAUUCUAAGCGGCCAAGACAGCCAAGCGAUUUCCCCAGGAAUGAAUGGUGCGGGUAAAGCCAUGGUGACAGCCGAAUGUGACUCUCUUUACUAUAAGUCAAAAACUGAAGAAGAAAAAAAAAAAGAGAGAA
Canis lupus familiaris (dog) is the source of this 281-nucleotide long non-coding RNA. RefSeq lists it as uncharacterized. The transcript is spliced from 3 exons. The record is from RefSeq and is a predicted model, not a curated record. Lineage: Eukaryota; Metazoa; Chordata; Mammalia; Carnivora; Canidae.